Molecule: ribosomal RNA, 433 nt
Filed under: uncultured bacterium
Lineage: Bacteria
Description: partial 16S ribosomal RNA
Rfam family: Bacterial small subunit ribosomal RNA
Source: RNAcentral
AGCGAACGCUGGCGGCAGGCCUAACACAUGCAAGUCGAACGAACUCUUCGGAGUUAGUGGCGGACGGGUGAGUAACACGUGGGAACGUGCCUUUAGGUUUGGAAUAACUCAGGGAAACUUGUGCUAAUACCGAAUGUGCCCUUCGGGGGAAAGAUUUAUCGCCUUUAGAGCGGCCCGCGUCUGAUUAGCUAGUUGGUGAGGUAAAGGCUCACCAAGGCGACGAUCAGUAGCUGGUCUGAGAGGAUGAUCAGCCACAUUGGGACUGAGACACGGCCCAAACUCCUACGGGAGGCAGCAGUGGGGAAUCUUGCGCAAUGGGCGAAAGCCUGACGCAGCCAUGCCGCGUGAAUGAUGAAGGUCUUAGGAUUGUAAAAUUCUUUCACCGGGGACGAUAAUGACGGUACCCGGAGAAGAAGCCCCGGCUAACUUCGUG